UAUUGCACAAUGGGGGAAACCCUUAUGCAGCGACGCCGCGUGAGUGAAGAAGUAUCUCGGUACGUAAAGCUCCAUCAGCAGGGAACAAAAUGCCGGUACCUGACCAAGAAGCCCCGUCUAACUACGUGCCAGCAGCCGCGGUAAUACGUAGGGGGCAAGCGUUAUCCGGAUUUACUGGGUGUAAAGGGAGCGUAGACGGCAGCGCAAGUCUGGAGUGAAAUGCCGGGGCCCAACCCCGGAACUGCUUUGGAAACUGUGCAGCUCGAGUGCAGGAGAGGUAAGCGGAAUUCCUAGUGUAGCGGUGAAAUGCGUAGAUAUUAGGAGGAACACCAGUGGCGAAGGCGGCUUACUGGACUGUAACUGACGUUGAGGCUCGAAAGCGUGGGGAGCA
RNAcentral lists this ribosomal RNA (391 nucleotides) under uncultured bacterium. RNAcentral's name for it is "bacterial SSU rRNA". It matches the Rfam family "Bacterial small subunit ribosomal RNA", at positions 362 to 770 of the family's 1533-position model. The record is from RNAcentral.